AAAGAAUUAGUUAAAUAUAUAACAUUAGAAUGUCAAACUAAAAUUAUUAAAUAUUAAUAUUCUUUA
Molecule: transfer RNA, 66 nt
Filed under: Desmopachria sp. ITV9392
Lineage: Eukaryota; Metazoa; Arthropoda; Insecta; Coleoptera; Dytiscidae
Also listed under: 1 other name
Description: tRNA-Asp
Source: RNAcentral